UACGUAGGGGGCAAGCGUUGUCCGGAAUCAUUGGGCGUAAAGCGCGUGUAGGCGGUCCGGUAAGUCCGCUGUGAAAGUCGGGGGCUCAACCCUCGAAUGCCGGUGGAUACUGUCGGGCUAGAGUGCGGAAGAGGCGAGUGGAAUUCCUGGUGUAGCGGUGAAAUGCGCAGAUAUCAGGAGGAACACCGAUGGCGAAGGCAGGUCUCUGGGCCACUACUGACGCUGAGAAGCGAAAGCAUGGGGAGCGAACAGG
Molecule: ribosomal RNA, 253 nt
Filed under: uncultured bacterium
Lineage: Bacteria
Description: partial 16S ribosomal RNA
Rfam family: Bacterial small subunit ribosomal RNA
Source: RNAcentral